This 73-nucleotide transfer RNA is filed under the name Marinobacter sp. RNAcentral's name for it is "tRNA-Gly". The record is from RNAcentral. Lineage: Bacteria; Pseudomonadati; Pseudomonadota; Gammaproteobacteria; Pseudomonadales; Marinobacteraceae.
GCGGGAAUAGCUCCGUUGGGAGAGCACGACCUUGCCAAGGGCGGGGGCGCGAGUUAGGGGCUCGUUUUCCGCC